UGUAAGCGUAUACCAAAGUUGUUGCAGUUAAAACGCUCGUAGUCGGAACUUGGCCGUUCCGGAUGUGUGCACGUCGUGUGCGCACUCUGCAGGGACGGCUUUUGUGGUCUUGCGUAGGAUGAGGCACUUUUAUUAGUGAACGUCCUCACGCAACCACUCUUUACUGUGAGAAAAUCAGAGUGCUCAAAGCAGGCAUUUGCCGUGAAUGUAUUAGCAUGGAAUAAUAGAAUAGGACUCGGUUCUAUUUUGUUGGUUUGUUGGGACUGAGUAAUGAUUAAGAGGGACAGUUGGGGGCAUUCGUAUUUCGGCGCUAGAGGUGAAAUUCUUAGAUUGCCGAAAGACAAACUGCUGCGAAAGCGUCUGCCAAGGAUGUUUUCAUUGA
RNAcentral lists this ribosomal RNA (382 nucleotides) under uncultured eukaryote. Its description in RNAcentral is "partial 18S ribosomal RNA". It matches the Rfam family "Eukaryotic small subunit ribosomal RNA", at positions 592 to 976 of the family's 1831-position model. The record is from RNAcentral.